GGGCUACAUUAAUUUUAUCGCUGCCUUGGAAAAAAGCGAUACUACAAUUCUAAUACAAUAGAGGCGGCUUAUAAAGGCCCUUAAAAUGACAAAGUUGGGGCAGAUUGAAGCGGCAAUGAUUGUAGUCCUUUUGUGGCUGACCGGACAUCUCUUAGUUCUUAGUGAGCGGACACGGGAUAAGAUGUAUCAGCCCAUUUUGGGUGCAAGUUGUUUUAGAAGACUGAACGGCACACACCAAACUGGAUGCUCAUCAACAUAUUCCGGGUCUGUUGGAGUGCUGCAUUUGAUCAAUGUUCAAUCAGAUUUAGAAUUUCUAUUGAGUAACCCCCCAGCACCACCGUAUGCACCACUCAUACCGCCACAUUUGUUCACAAGAGCGAAUAUGUUACGUUUAAAGGCAGUUGGACCAAGCAAUAUUUCUGUGGUGCUGCUGAUUAAUAAACCCGAAAAGAUGACUUCAUUUUCACAUGAGCUCAAAUGUCCCAAUCAAUAUAGCGGACUCAAAUUGGCUGACAACAUUGAGACUUGUGGUGCUAAAAAUGAGGCAAAUACGUGGAAUCGCUGGGGCACGGGCCUUUUGCACGAAGAUUUUCCGUUCCCCAUAUACUAUAUAGCUGAUGGCGAAGAGAUUGCCAAGUUGGUUAAUUGCUUCGAAAAGUUUAACAAUUUUGAUUACGAAUCCCAUGUGUUGCGCAGCUUAUGUGCCGUGGAGGUUAAGUCCUUUAUGUCAGCGGCUGUUAACACUGAGGUCUGUAUGCGCCGUACCAAUUUUAUCAACAAUCUCGGUGGGACUAAGUACUGUGACCCGUUGGAAGGCCGGAAUGUGUAUGCAACGUUGUAUCCACGCAACCCAUCGGAUCAACUAAAUGCAGACGCAGCACGUACAAUAAAUGCCAAUGAGAAGUUUAUAAUUGUAUCUUGCCAUCUAGAUACCACGAGCAUGUUCGAUGGUGUGGGUCUAGGAGCAGUAGACUCUUUAUUGAGCCUGGCCACACUGAUUCAAGUGGCUCACAUGUUGCACCUGCUGCUGGUUAGAAAAAACAAGCCUGCCAUUUCCCAGCGUAAUGUGCUCUUUGUUGUAUUCAACGGUGAGUCCUAUGACUAUAUUGGCUCUCAGCGGCUUGUUUACGAUAUGGACCAUUUGGAUUUUCCCAGUCGGGCCGCUCAAAGCAAACCCAUUUCUUUUGAGAAUAUUGAGUUUCUUUUGGAUAUUGGCACAUUGGAUGAUGUAGCCAACAUUAAGCUACAUACGCUAAAUACAACACCAUUGGCUCAGAAAUUGCUGCAACAGCUGAACAGCUAUGCCCAAGCUCCACGUUAUGGUUUUAAUCUAAACAUUCAAUCAAACGUAGGCUAUUCAAUACCACCAACAUCAGCCCAAUCAUUCUUGCGCCGGGAUGAUAAGUUCCCGGCGCUUAUCUUGAAUGGUGUACCCAGCAAUAAAUUUUAUCACUCAAUCUACGAUGAUCUCUAUAAUGUGGGCUUUUCGUAUGUCAAUACAAGUCAGGAUUACAUGUCGCUCACAGAUGUUAAUGAUAUGAAAAGUUUUGCGACGGACUCACUGCAAAUGAAGGUGCGCAAUAUUUCUUCAAUUGUCUCCAUGGCACUUUACGAAACAUUAACGGGUGACCAGUACAAAGAUAUGAUGGUGGCCAAUCCGAUUUUAACGGACGAGUUCUUUUACUGUUUCCUGCAAUCAUCUGACUGUCCAUUAUUUAGGGCAGCAUCCCAUCCAAAAAGUCCACGUGGCAUACCAUUGCCACCCAUGCGAUAUAUAAGUGUGCUGGGCGGCUCACAGGAGUCCUCAGGCUGGACAUAUCGUCUGCUGGGUUACCUAUUAUCUUUGCCGCAAAAGACUAUUGCCAUUGAGAAUUGCACACAAUUGCCACUUUACUAUUUUGCCGGCGUUAAUGGAUCUGGUGAAUGUCGUCUCACCACUCAAAAUUAUACUACUGCUUUGAGUCCGGCGUUCAUUAUAGAAGACUAUGAUUGGCGAUCGGGCCAGUAUUCAACGUGGACUGAAUCAACAUGGUCGCAAUUCAGUGCACGAAUAUUUUUGCGCCCGUCCAAUAUGCAUGAAAUUACCACCCUUAGCAUCGGCAUUGUGGUAUUCAUCAUAUCAUUUUGUGCGAUAUACAUUAUAAGCUCGCGAUGGGAGGCGCUCUUUGAGGAUGUGCCGGCAAGCAAUGCGGCAUUAUUUAAUUGAUGGUAUUAAUGCUGGUGCUGUAGCAACAUCCACAAUAACUUCAACAUCAUAAACUGUGCAUGUCAAAUCAUUUAUUAUAAAUUUUAGAUUGCCACCUCCAGCUGCCUGCUAGCGCGAAGAAGAAGAGCGUAUUCAAAGCAAACUGUUGUAUCUAAUCUUAUAAGUCUAAUAAAAGACAAUUAAUACAAAGAUACAACCGCGCGAAAAAAAAAACAUUGAAAUUGUAGUAACCCCAUGAUACUCUCUUUUAUAACGAUUCGCAAAUAAAUAGUUCAUUUUAUGUUUAACUCUUAGUAUGUAAUUAGGCUUUUGUUGUAAUACUAUAAUAAAAUAAAAAUAUGAUUGCUCCGAAUUGAAUUA
Molecule: RNA transcript, 2566 nt
Organism: Drosophila busckii
Lineage: Eukaryota; Metazoa; Arthropoda; Insecta; Diptera; Drosophilidae
Gene: Nct
Gene name: nicastrin
Exons: 8
Source: RefSeq, a predicted model, not a curated record